GUCUUUGCGGUGUAAUGGUAGCACACUCGGCGCGUAUUCGAGAGGUUCAGGUUCGAGUCCCGGCAAAGGCA
This 71-nucleotide transfer RNA is filed under the name Stegodyphus mimosarum. It matches the Rfam family "tRNA". From Rfam's summary of the family: Transfer RNA (tRNA) molecules are approximately 80 nucleotides in length. Their secondary structure includes four short double-helical elements and three loops (D, anti-codon, and T loops). Further hydrogen bonds mediate the characteristic L-shaped molecular structure. tRNAs have two regions of fundamental functional importance: the anti-codon, which is responsible for specific mRNA codon recognition, and the 3' end, to which the tRNAs corresponding amino acid is attached (by aminoacyl-tRNA synthetases). tRNAs cope with the degeneracy of the genetic code in two manners: having more than one tRNA (with a specific anti-codon) for a particular amino acid; and 'wobble' base-pairing, i.e. permitting non-standard base-pairing at the 3rd anti-codon position. Lineage: Eukaryota; Metazoa; Arthropoda; Arachnida; Araneae; Eresidae. The record is from Rfam by way of RNAcentral.